This 640-nucleotide ribosomal RNA is filed under the name uncultured bacterium. RNAcentral describes it as "bacterial SSU rRNA". It matches the Rfam family "Bacterial small subunit ribosomal RNA", at positions 202 to 842 of the family's 1533-position model. The record is from RNAcentral.
GAAAGAUUCAUCGGAAGAGGAUGGGCAUGCGGCGCAUUAGCUAGACGGCGGGGUAACGGCCCACCGUGGCGACGAUGCGUAGGGGUUCUGAGAGGAAGGUCCCCCACACUGGUACUGAGACACGGACCAGACUCCUACGGGAGGCAGCAGUGAGGAAUAUUGGUCAAUGGGAGAGAUCCUGAACCAGCCAAGCCGCGUGAGGGAAGACGGCCCUAUGGGUUGUAAACCUCUUUUGUCGGAGAACAAAACCCGGGACGUGUCCCGGACUGCGUGUAUCCGAAGAAAAAGCAUCGGCUAACUCCGUGCCAGCAGCCGCGGUAAUACGGAGGAUGCGAGCGUUAUCCGGAUUUAUUGGGUUUAAAGGGUGCGUAGGCGGUCCGUUAAGUCAGCGGUAAAAUUGCGGGGCUCAACCCCGUCGAGCCGUUGAAACUGGCAGACUUGAGUUGGCGAGAAGUACGCGGAAUGCGCGGUGUAGCGGUGAAAUGCAUAGAUAUCGCGCAGAACUCCGAUUGCGAAGGCAGCGUACCGGCGCCAGACUGACGCUGAGGCACGAAAGCGUGGGGAUCGAACAGGAUUAGAUACCCUGGUAGUCUACGCAGUAAACGAUGAAUGCUGGUUGUCCGGGUCGAAUGAGAUCUGG